Molecule: long non-coding RNA, 233 nt
Filed under: Lathyrus oleraceus (garden pea)
Lineage: Eukaryota; Viridiplantae; Streptophyta; Magnoliopsida; Fabales; Fabaceae
Description: Pisum sativum (pea) long non-coding RNA (PSAT_LNC002795)
Source: RNAcentral
AACGGCGACCGUUGGAAUCGCAUCGGGUUUCUCUUUUUGGAUUUUUCGAUUUUUUAACAUAAAACGUGAACAAUACGAUUAAACACACAAUACAGAAAUAAAAAAUGCGAGAAAGUAAAUUAUUACAACACAGUUAGCUAUGAAUAGUUAGUAUUACGAAUAGUUAGUGGAGUUAAUCGAGCUGAAACUGAAACGAAACGGUUAGUAACAACAUAAACAAAUAUAAAAAAACA